This 508-nucleotide ribosomal RNA is filed under the name uncultured bacterium. RNAcentral's name for it is "bacterial SSU rRNA". It matches the Rfam family "Bacterial small subunit ribosomal RNA", at positions 15 to 518 of the family's 1533-position model. The record is from RNAcentral.
GAUCCUGGCUCAGGAUGAACGCUAGCGGCAGGCUUAACACAUGCAAGUCGAGGGGCAUCGGGAGUAGCAAUACUGCCGGCGACCGGCGCAAGGGUGCGUAACGCGUGAGCAACAUGCCCGUAUCAGGGGGGAUAAUCCAUGGAAACGUGGUCUAAUACCCCAUAGUAAUUAUGUAAGGCAUCUUAUAUAAUUUAAAGCUUUGGUGGAUACGGAUUGGCUCGCGUGACAUUAGCUAGAUGGUAAGGUAACGGCUUACCAUGGCUACGAUGUCUAGGGGUUCUGAGAGGAAGGUCCCCCACACUGGAACUGAGACACGGUCCAGACUCCUACGGGAGGCAGCAGUGAGGAAUAUUGGACAAUGGAUGGAAAUCUGAUCCAGCCAUGCCGCGUGCAGGAAGACGGCCCUAUGGGUUGUAAACUGCUUUUGUAUGGGAGCAAUAAGGGCUACGCGUAGUCCGAUGAGAGUACCAUACGAAUAAGCACCGGCUAACUCCGUGCCAGCCGCCGC